This 489-nucleotide ribosomal RNA is filed under the name uncultured Sphingobacteriales bacterium. Its description in RNAcentral is "bacterial SSU rRNA". It matches the Rfam family "Bacterial small subunit ribosomal RNA", at positions 904 to 1382 of the family's 1533-position model. The record is from RNAcentral. Lineage: Bacteria; Pseudomonadati; Bacteroidota; Sphingobacteriia; Sphingobacteriales.
GCCGCUCAGAACUAAGGAAUUGACGGGGCCGCACAAGCGGAGGAGCAUGUGGUUUAAUUCGAUGAUACGCGAGGAACCUUACCUGGGCUCGAACGUAAGAUGACUGUAGGUGAAAGCUUACAUCUCUUCGGAGCAUUUUACGAGGUGCUGCAUGGUUGUCGUCAGCUCGUGCCGUGAGGUGUCGGGUUAAGUCCCAUAACGAGCGCAACCCCUACCUUUAGUUGCCAUCAGGUUAAGCUGGGGACUCUAAAGGAACUGCCUACGCAAGUAGUGAGGAAGGCGGGGAUGACGUCAAAUCAGCACGGCCCUUACGUCCAGGGCUACACACGUGCUACAAUGGCCGAUACAGAGGGCAGCUACCUGGUGACAGGAUGCAAAUCUCCAAAGUCGGUCUCAGUUCGGAUCGGAGUCUGCAACCCGACUCCGUGAAGUUGGAUUCGCUAGUAAUCGCGCAUCAGCCAUGGCGCGGUGAAUACGUUCCCGGGCCUU